ACCAAAGCUGGCAUCCUUAUCAACUCCACCCAACCAAAGCUGGCAUCCUUUUUUUCUCUGAGCCCAGGUGGGCAGCCACGUUGCUAGUCGGCUCUCUCUGGGGCCUCUCAUCCCCUUAACUAGAGACCAAUAGCACCUUGGAGAGUAUGGGUCUUGCUUUAGAGUCCUGUUGAGUUCUUCCCUUGGUGGCCAAUUUAAAGUAGCUACAUUCAAAUUUUAUUUAUUUUUUUGACCAACACCACAGUGCUCCAGGUGCCAGCAGAGAUGAGUUUUAUCCUUGCUACAAGCUUCUGGUCUUCGAUAUCCAACUGAAACAGAGUUUAAGGAGUUUUGGGUUCCCCUGGAUCC
Molecule: long non-coding RNA, 348 nt
Filed under: Capra hircus (goat)
Lineage: Eukaryota; Metazoa; Chordata; Mammalia; Artiodactyla; Bovidae
Description: lncRNA (ENSCHIG00010026299.1)
Source: RNAcentral